This 1135-nucleotide ribosomal RNA is filed under the name uncultured Myroides sp. RNAcentral describes it as "bacterial SSU rRNA". It matches the Rfam family "Bacterial small subunit ribosomal RNA", at positions 80 to 1214 of the family's 1533-position model. Lineage: Bacteria; Pseudomonadati; Bacteroidota; Flavobacteriia; Flavobacteriales; Flavobacteriaceae. The record is from RNAcentral.
UCGGAAUCUCGAGACCGGCGCACGGGUGCGUAACGCGUAUGCAAUCUACCUUUUACUAUGGGAUAGCCCAGAGAAAUUUGGAUUAAUACCAUAUAGUAUAUUUGAAUGGCAUCGUUUGAAUAUUAAAGAUUUAUCGGUAAAAGAUGAGCAUGCGUCCCAUUAGUUAGUUGGUGUGGCAACGGCAUACCAAGACGAUGAUGGGUAGGGGUCCUGAGAGGGAGAUCCCCCACACUGGUACUGAGACACGGACCAGAUUCCUACGGGAGGCAGCAGUGAGGAAUAUUGGUCAAUGGAGGCAACUCUGAACCAGCCAUGCCGCGUGCAGGAUGACCGGNCCCANCCNUUGNNNACUGCUUUUGUACGGGAAGAAAACAAACUACGAGUAGUUAAUUGACGGUACCGUAAGAAUAAGGAUCGGCUAACUCCGUGUCNAGCAGCCGCGGGUAAUACNGGAGGAUCCAAGGCGUUUUUCCGGAAUCNUUGGGUUUAAAGGGGUCCGUAGGCGGCCUUAUUAAGUCCAGUGGNUGAAAGUUUUUUGGCUUAACCAAAAAAUUGCCAUUGAUACUGUAGGGCUUGAAUAUCUGUGAAGUAACUAGAAUAUGUAGUGUAGCGGUGAAAUGCUUAGAUAUUACAUGGAAUACCGAUUGCGAAGGCAGGUUACUAACAGAUGAUUGACGCUGAUGGACGAAAGCGUGGGUAGCGAACAGGAUUAGAUACCCUGGUAGUCCACGCCGUAAACGAUGGAUACUAGCUGUUUGGUUUUCGGACUGAGUGGCUAAGCGAAAGUGAUAAGUAUCCCACCUGGGGAGUACGGUCGCAAGACUGAAACUCAAAGGAAUUGACGGGGGCCCGCACAAGCGGUGGAGCAUGUGGUUUAAUUCGAUGAUACGCGAGGAACCUUACCAGGGCUUAAAUGUAGAUUGACAGAUUUGGAAACAGAUUUUUCUUCGGACAAUUUACAAGGUGCUGCAUGGUUGUCGUCAGCUCGUGCCGUGAGGUGUCAGGUUAAGUCCUAUAACGAGCGCACCCCUGGUUGUUAGUUGCCAGCACGUAUGGUGGGAACUCUAGCAGACUGCCAGUGUAACUGUGAGGAAGUGGGGAUGACGUCAAAUCAUCACGGCCCUACGUCCUGGGC